This 1094-nucleotide long non-coding RNA is filed under the name Marmota monax (woodchuck). Lineage: Eukaryota; Metazoa; Chordata; Mammalia; Rodentia; Sciuridae. The record is from RNAcentral.
GGACAAUUAUGUUUCCCUUGCACUAUAGGAAACAUCACCUGGUAUUGGACAGGUCUUGUUGAUAAUUUUUCCAAUUUUCUGGGAUUGGGAAUCAGAACCCAUAGCCAAGAGCAAUAGGGAAUGGUCACCCUUCAGUCUAAAAGGGUAGUUCUUAGAGGCAGUUUUGUCCCUCCAGGAGACCUCUUUCAAUGUCUGAAGACACUUUUUAUUGUCCUACUUGGGAAUUGCUAUAAGCAUCUAGUAUAUAGAGACCAGGAUGCUGCUCAAUACCUCCCCACCCCAAUGCAUAGGACAGUUCUCCUGGGAAGUUAUUUGACCCUAAACAGCAGUAGUGCAGACACUGAGAAAUCCUGAUUGUAAAUUGUUCAUGUGUAUGGGUAUCAUCUUGAAAGAGAUAUGGAUGCUUCAUUCACCGUAUCUGGUGAGCUGCUAGGUGACUUCCACUGGGGAGAUAAUAUUGAAGUGGCCAUGGGUUGUCUGCAGAAGUAUUGAUUGUUUACAAGGGGCAUAGAGGGGCAUAGAGAUGCCAACGUGCACAAUCCCCAGAGCUGGGCCACAGAGAGCAGCUAAGAUUAGGGGUUCAGGCCUGUGGGGGCCACUCUAGGAUGGGCAGGGGCCAUGUGAUGGAAAGACCAUGUGGGCAUUACCCAGGAGGUUUAGCUGAAACUCACAAAGACCCACCAAGGCUUCUGAGAGCAGUUUGGGCCUGAGUUUCUUAUCAGUGGUGUUAGCCACUGGCCACACUCCAUGCAGACAAGGAGUUAGAUUGACAGAAGUGACCCUUGGAAAGGUAGUGGUGGCCUCCUCUGGUACAGGGUUUUCACAGAAGAGAAUGACAGCAGAGGUGACAUUCCCCUUUGUUGAUGGAGAACAAACUCAUUCCGGGAAGUCACAUGCCAAAAUAUCUUUUAUUCUCUCCUUUCUCCAGAACUUAAAUUAUAAGGGAAGAGAGAAGAAGAGAUGUGAGAGAGGGAAAAUCACAUCUCCCACCCUCCUAAUGGUGGAUACCCAGAAUUCUAACUUAGGGAUAACAUCAUUCACCUUAUAGCAGUGGUCAGUAUACUACUGCCCCAAACCUGUAGUAAAUAAAGGUU